AUGCCCUGUGCCUCGCUCAGUUUUUUUUUGUUUGUUUGUUUUUGUUUUAAUCAAACUUUAAGUAAAAAAACUUUGAGCUGGAUGAAUCACAUGAAACUAAUUAUUUUUAAUUGUUUCUUUAUUCAAUGGGCUAUAAUAAUAUCGAACACCUUUGAGUACGAUCAUUUGAAAGUUGUUUUAUCAUCUGAAAAAAUCGAAUUGUAUCGUAAUUAGGUUAUUAUUUAGUA
Saccharomycodes ludwigii is the source of this 227-nucleotide small nucleolar RNA. Lineage: Eukaryota; Fungi; Ascomycota; Saccharomycetes; Saccharomycodales; Saccharomycodaceae. The record is from RefSeq and is a predicted model, not a curated record.